UCAGGCUGCAGAAGUUACAUUUUUGUGGAAGAAAUCAGACUUACAUUUUGGCAAUAUUUUGGAUGGUUUGGGCCAGUUCUAGGGAGAGAGAAGAAUUGACCGAAGGCAAUUUCCCUUUCAGUUGUGUAUAUCUCUUCCCUUUGCAAUUACAAACAGGCCACCUCCUUUAAGACCUGACUGCCCAGCAUUCAUUAUGCAGAUAGGGUCCAGCAUAUGUAGAAAACUAAAGGUAGGAUAAAAUUACUUUUGUUUCCUUUAAUGCAAUUUAGCAGCUGAAAAGUGUCAGUUUCCCCUCCAGAGAUUCAGGCACUAGAUCACAAAUGACUUCUGGGAUCUAAGGCAUAAUUUUUAUACAGGCUGAAAUUGAUUCAGACAUCUGAUAGAACUGUUAAGCUGUGAGAAAGUGCUGCAAGACAUUGUGCAGAGCAGAGCCAUGAGAAGAAAGGUUAAGAUUGCUGGAGAAGGGAACAGUGUUGACAAAAGAUAAUCAAGUAGCUCAAGGGUUCUUCAAGAGCAAACCCAUGAAAAACAUACAAAAUCCUAUAGAAACAAGACCAAGUAGCCUGAGGAUGGCAGUUUAGCAACGUCAGUGAUCUAAGCAGCAGCAGAAGCCAACCUUUCCCUUCCCUUUGUGACUGAAGGCUGCCCAGCCAACAGUGACUCCUUGGGUGCCUUUAUCAGGGUGGCAAGCACAUUAGCUUGUUAGCUCUAUCUACACAUUGUGAAUAUUGACCAAUAAAUCAUAAGUUUUAUUCUUCUUUUAAGCUGCAAAAUCCAUGGUGCAGAAGCUUGGUACAUAGCAAAAAGCACCCCAAUGAAAUGACCCAGAGGAGGAAGGUUACAGAACAAUGGAGAACUAUUGACUAUGAGCAGCACCUUCUCCUUUAUCACCCUUUGAGAACCACUGCCUUAGGAAAAAAAGGAGGAGUUAGAAAAGCAUGAAAACAAGUUCUGAAUUUAUAUUCAUCCUUUAUUGCAAAUUGCUGAACGAGGCGAGUUUAUGUGUUUCCUUCUAGCCUUGCCAUAGCCAGCCAGCAAAGGGUGUGAGCUAAUUGUUAAAUUCAGUUCAACAAGUUCCUCAUUAGGGGGAAAUUACCUGAGUUUGAAAUCUGCUAAUUUUCCAAUCAGGGUGAGUGUUUGCACUUGUGAUUUGGAAAUAAUUAACACAUGGUAUAACAUCAAAGCCUGUGUAAAGGCUAAUGGUAGAAGGACUAAUUUCCUUGGCAUGAAAAUGGCGUGGUUGGUUUCCUCAGAGCUCUAUCACUAUCCUUUCAGUAUUGGUAUCUGCUGUGUAGGGUGUUCUGGUAUAUAUUUAGAUUGGUUCUCUGCAGAGUUGUACUUUUUAAUUUUGAAAAAUUGAACCCUUAUGUUCCAGGGCUAUGAGUAAUAUUUUCAUUUUGAAAGGUGCUACAUUUAUUGCUUUUUUCUUCAUGUCAAUGCAGACUUUUGCACUAUUACUUGCAUCUAUUAUCUCUAAAAGGCGAUCAUAAAUCAUCAUUUUAGACUAGGGCUUAAGCCUAAAUUCUGCAAGAUUUAAAAUGUAUGUUUCCAGGAAAGCCAUAUUCUAGUCCUCAAGGGCAUUCCUAGGACUGUGAAUGACCUAUAGUAUUUAGAAAGAAAGGGUAUCCAGGUAGGACAAUUAAUUCGGAAAGCAGAUGUGUACAUGGGAGAAACAAAAGUAGCUGGAAAACACAAACAAAUUUUCUACUUUAAAGUUUCAGCUAUUGAUAUAACCUGAUCAUCACCACUUCUAUGUCUUAUCACAUAAUAUUAGCUGGUCUAAACCAGGUAUUAUUUCUGGUAAACAAUACUACCUUUAUAGCUUAGACCAUAGCACUAGUACAACUCAGAGCAUUAGUGACUUCUCACCAUGAAGCUUGCAAGGGAGAGGGAUUUAAUCUCUGGUAGUUGAGUCAGCUGCACCCAAGGGUGUCCUUAGUCCUGCUGGUGUGAGUAUAUUGUGGCUUAUUGACAAGAUGGGUGUGACGUGACAGCUACCAAGGAGAAGAGUCCAUUCCAUGUAAGCAGGCAGCAUGCAGCAGAACACAGCUGUAUAAUCUGGACUCGUGUCUAGUCUAGAAGCAGUCCAGUUUGGCCACAGGCACAGUGACACAGAGUGCGGUAAAUGAGGUCUGCUCGCCCACAGUUAGCAUCACCUUUACACCCCUAAGACCUUCAAGCAGAGCCUCCCACAAAAAAAAAAAACAAGCCAGCAAAGGUAGGGUAGCUUUAAAUGGUAUCUGAUCUACCAAGGCUUCAUCAAGCAGCAUCCUUUAGGCAGGAAGGCUGCCCUGCAAAGAUCUAGGAGGAAAAUGUGGGUUUUUCUGCCCUGUCUUCUCCAAUGUCCAUGGGUAUCUAUGGCAACUGUUUGCACUGAGAUAGGAAUUGUGUUUCAGGUACAUAUGAGUCAGCAGUUGGGAAUUCUCUUACUGGAUUAAUGUCUCCAACUUGGAUAACCUGUUUUGAACACUUCCAGUACCUUAAUUGCUCAGAGCAUUCUCUCUCAAAGCUUUUUUUGAUGAACGUAAAUAGAGCUUGCAUUUCUUCUUUCACAGAAAAAGCAUUUGUGAUUUGUGUCUAUGCCCAUCAAGUAGCAUUCAUGCUGCCAGAAAUGCUACACACAGGUGGUAGGGAUUUGCAUUUUCAUGCGAGCUGAUGACGACUCCCCUUCUCGGUCAGUUCUGCUUUUUAUAGCUCAUUGCUUAUGAAUUACUGUUGCUUCUGAAAUUCUGGGCUGUGAUUCUCAUAUCCAUUUUUCUUUUGCUCUGUUUCUGAUCAGCUGCCUACUUUUGUUCAUGACAUCAUCUGCUGCUGCUUCUGUGCUUCAGGAGAAAUUGUUAACAUCUGAAUCAGUUGCUUUGGUUAUAGACAAUAUUUCCUAUGUCAGAUUCCCAGAACUGUGAGAGCAUCUUCUUGUCUCUCUCUCAUAUAGAGCAUCCCCUUUUCCUUGCUCAUACGUAACGUGAAAAAGAGCAUAAGCAAGUGAGUCUGAGAGGCUAAUACAUUAAAAUUCAUGUUUUUAAUUGGAGAUUAUUGCUUGUUUUUCUGAGGUUAUUUAUUUUCUCUGCGUAACUUAUCUUUUACUUCCAAAAAGGAUCGAGUUUCAAGCUCUGGCCAAGUAACCCUUAUUUCACAAGAAACACAUUGGCCAUUUCACUCCAGUUCUGACUGAGCAGCUAUUGUGUUACAAAAGACACACCUGGCAACUGGGGGCUCAUUUUUUUCUGUCGUGCCAGCUGCCUUGGAAGUUGCUGAGGAACCCAAAUGCACAAGCAAGGAAAAUCAAAGCCAUCAGGUUAUCUGCCAGACAGGAGUCCUGCCUGUGGUCUGCCUGUGGAUAACAUUAAGGAGAUAAAGCUCAACCAACUCUUUCUCUCUUCCUCUCUCAUCCUUUUGGUUAUGUGCUUCUUUCUAUUAGGCAACCUCUUAUUUCAUGCUCCCUCUUCCCUUUGAAAUUCUCUUCUUGGAGGCCUAAAGAUUGCAGUGUCCCACCUGCAGGGGCAAAAAUGGCCCCUACCACCAAAACGGGAGAUGUCUGAAAAAGUCCCCUGGUGAGAUGACGCCUUGUUUGGCUGCCUGCUGAGGACCCAAGGCAGCUCCAAGCCCUAAGGUAAGUGGCUGUGACAUUACAAUGGUCUUUGCUGUCAGUAUAAUUAUGCAUCAGAAAAUCAAGCAGCUUCUGGAAGCUAGUAGUAGUUUCUUAAAAAUAGUAAUGAGUUAAAUGUUAGUUGCUCUUUUACCAGCAAAUUGUGGAUGUCAAAUGUGCACACACACACACAACUGCCUCCUAUAAUUCAUCUACUUUUAACCACUUGUACAGAUUAAAUUGAGUGACAUGCAAAACAGAUAUUAAAGACAUAUGAAUACUAAGUUGAGCAUAUCAAAUGAAGGUUUUGGGGAGUUAUGUCUGAUCCAACAUAGAAAUUAUUUGACUGUAAGUUUUAUACUGAUAUUUCCAAAUCACCACUGGGGCUAUCAAGCCAUUCUCUGGUUUUAACGUAAAUUGACCUUUUGUUAAGCAUUGGCCCAGCAGAUAGCAUCCCCUCGAAGGAAACAGACAGGCACGUGCUUUGUUCGGAUCCUCCAACUCCUGAACAGCCAAUGCAGGUCUUCAUAUUACAAGGCAGCAACUAGCAUAAGAAACAGCUCCCAAGUGCUGGGCUGCGCCGGAGACCUUCUCCCACGGGGGACAAGGGAUUCUUUGAUGCACAGUCUUCUGCUGUGUACCUUGUAUUUUUAUUGCAGUUUCCUGUCUUCAUUGUUGGUGGUAUCUGGUAACUUAAGGUCCUGAAGUCUUACUGUGUGGCAAGAAAAAAUUAAGCUGGGGCAGAGGAGGAGGAAGAAGAGAACCAGGACUAGUGCUCACACCUGCAACCUUUUCUCCAUGGGUCCUUUUUCCUUGAGCACUUUCUACUAUGCCAAAAGACUGCAAGGUGUAAAAACAUGCAGCAACUAUUUUGUAUCAACUAAUGCAUACAGUACACAGGUACAACUAACAGUCUACUCAGCUAAGUAUUACUUAAGUGUUAACUAUUACCCAAGUACUUUAGUACAGGUUACUCCACUGAGUAUUGCAAAUAUUAUCAGGCAAGCAGCUGUUGGUCAGGAAGGGAACUUUUCAUUUCCAUGGCUCUUUAGAGUGGAUCAUGACCCCUUGUCCGGCCAAGCUGCUGUCUGCUGAAUCUCUGCCUUCUUUCUGAGGGUGCUGCAUCUUUCCCCCCUCCCUAGUAUUUUCCAACUAACUUACUGCUGCCACAAUUUCACUUCUCCCUGCAUACUUACUUUCAUAUGGCUUUAGCUUACACACUUUCUUGCAGCUGGACAACUUUGUAACCAAAACUCAGCCAAGGUAUCACAGCUGUGUCCCCACAAAAGCAAGCCUUGGGUCUUCACAGGCAGCUGAACAUCUGCACUGCUGUUUGGUGUUUGAAAGUUAGCUGCACAUUUCCACCAGAACAGAGACAUUAUAUUGCUCUCUGUUGUGACACCUAGACUGGUGUUAUACUGACCAUUAACAGUGGGGGGUUUGAAUUCUGAUUAGGGCAGGUUAGACUACUAGCUCUUUGGAUAUUUUGGUACUGUCAUGAAGUUCAUGCUAGGCAGCUCAUUGCAACACCAGCAACAGAGACCUUGAAUUAACCAUCGCUUAUAUCACUGAAAGUCUUUCUGAUAAAACACACUGGUUUUGAUUUCUGAAAAAAAAAUCUUCUAGUGAUAGAAACUGUCCCACAGGCUCAGAUAGGUUGUCCCAGUGAUUGCUUUAACCCCUUAAGAAGGACCAAGUGCACCAGAAUGUUUUCAGCAAGACAUGCUGAUUUUGAAAUAGACUGUGAAAGAUGUGAACAACAGAUUUUGUGGUGGAGUCUUUUAUAGAGAACAAAGAGAGUAUUAGAAUCCACCUUGUGAAAGUUCAGACGUACAGGAAGAAGACCAAGCUUUUUGAAUAGCAGAGCAGAAAAGCCCCCAGGUAACUGAUAACUAAAAGAAGCACUUACUUAUCAGAAGCCACACAUAUGGAGAACGAAGAAUAUGAUCUUGGUGGGGCAGCUGGAAAAAAAAUCUUUGAUUUGCUGGUUAAUCAGAAUGUACUGCAGGGAAAUCAAUAUAAGGAUAAUCUCAUUUGCUAUUUAUUUCUGGCUCAUAUUUUCACAGGCUUGGAAAUACGCUUUUCAUCAGUCAUCUACUCUGGAGAGGAACGGCAUGAAUCUCAACGCUUCUGCUAUUUUCACCUGCAAAAUAUUCAAAAUUGUUUCUGCAGAAGCUAUGGGCAGCAGUAGGGGACAUUUAUUUAAAGAAAUUUGGAACAAUGGAUCGCUAGUGAUUAAAAUAAAAAUGGAAAUUACAUUCCAGAUGCAGGAGGCAAAUGAGUAUUUCAUUUAUGAUACUUUGCCAUUUAGCAUGUAUGAACCAACUCCGAGCGGCUGCAUUUUGGAAAUUUUGAAACCUGGUUGUCUUUUGAAUCCUAUGAAAAAUGUAGAUUCAGGCUCCGUGUUUUAUGCUAAUGUGAAUAGGUGAAGGAGAAUACCAGUUUGUAGAAACAAGGGAAUUAGCAUGUGAAUGGGGAGUAUUGGACUUCUCCCUCUUGAAAAGGCAGCUUUCAAAGUAGAAACUGGGAUUUAAAUCUCACACUGAUUUUUCUCUUUUCAUAUCCUCAAAUCAUGUUACUUGCAGUGCAUUAACAGCCUUUGAGCCUGUACCCCAUUGGGCUACAGGUGCUGUCAUUUUAACUAAUAGCUAUAAUCUACAAAUCUAACAAUCAAUGAACUAACCUGUUUUUUCCACCACCGCCCCCCUCCCUUCUUAAUUCUACUCUUGGAUCUCAGUUUCAGUUUUCAGGACUGACGGUUAUAAAAAUACUUGCAAAGAAAGAAGCUGACUGUGAGACCAGCCUGGACUCCCUCCUUCCUCAUCAAAUCCUGUUUUUUCAGAGGACUGCAUUGUCAGCCUCACCAGAGAGGUUUGCUUCCAGUGCUGAUGUAUUCCUUGCAAACAAAACAAGCUUGCAGCAGCAUGUUGAUGAAUAAGCUAGAUUGCAGUGACACAGGAGAAUUAGUGCCUACUGAAGGGAGACAACUUGUGGAGAUAGUUUCAGGAAUGCUUUCAGCAUAAGCGGCCAUCCACAUGUCUAAAACUGCACAGCUCAAACAACUUAGUCCCAUACUGCUACAGAUCAAGCCAUCUUCAGCAGAGACUACAUUCGCAUUCUCUGCUCAUGUGAAGUAAAAAUUCAGGAAUCUCUGCUGUGACUGAAACUCCCCAAUGAAAGCAGAUUUUUGCCUUCCGAGCUCUUCUCCUCCCUCUCCCCCACCUCCAUUCCCCUGAAUUAGCCAUAGCAACCUGCCCUGCAUUUCAAACACCUGCUUGCAUUUAUUCAAUGGUGUGACAGUUUGCUUUCCUUCAUUGCAUUUUAUUUGCCUUUGUUUAAUGAUUAAAGCAAACCAAAACCGUUGUA
This is a long non-coding RNA of Pezoporus flaviventris, 6952 nucleotides long. RefSeq lists it as uncharacterized. NCBI's taxonomy places the organism in Eukaryota, Metazoa, Chordata, Aves, Psittaciformes, Psittacidae. The transcript is spliced from 3 exons. The record is from RefSeq and is a predicted model, not a curated record.